GGCUCAGAUUGAACGCUGGCGGCAGGCCUAACACAUGCAAGUCGAGCGGAUGAAGGGAGCUUGCUCCUGGAUUCAGCGGCGGACGGGUGAGUAAUGCCUAGGAAUCUGCCUGGUAGUGGGGGACAACGUUUCGAAAGGAACGCUAAUACCGCAUACGUCCUACGGGAGAAAGCAGGGGACCUUCGGGCCUUGCGCUAUCAGAUGAGCCUAGGUCGGAUUAGCUAGUUGGUGAGGUAAUGGCUCACCAAGGCGACGAUCCGUAACUGGUCUGAGAGGAUGAUCAGUCACACUGGAACUGAGACACGGUCCAGACUCCUACGGGAGGCAGCAGUGGGGAAUAUUGGACAAUGGGCGAAAGCCUGAUCCAGCCAUGCCGCGUGUGUGAAGAAGGUCUUCGGAUUGUAAAGCACUUUAAGUUGGGAGGAAGGGUUGUAGAUUAAUACUCUGCAAUUUUGACGUUACCGACAGAAUAAGCACCGGCUAACUCUGUGCCAGCAGCCGCGGUAAUACAGA
This 513-nucleotide ribosomal RNA is filed under the name Pseudomonas sp. S3.CEL.017. RNAcentral's name for it is "bacterial SSU rRNA". It matches the Rfam family "Bacterial small subunit ribosomal RNA", at positions 21 to 529 of the family's 1533-position model. Lineage: Bacteria; Pseudomonadati; Pseudomonadota; Gammaproteobacteria; Pseudomonadales; Pseudomonadaceae. The record is from RNAcentral.